AGUGAACGCUGGCGGCAGGCCUAACACAUGCAAGUCGAGCGGCAGCGCGGGGGCAACCCUGGCGGCGAGCGGCGGACGGGCGAGGAAUUCGUCGGAAUCUGCCUUUUUGUGGGGGAUAACGUAGGGAAACUUACGCUAAUACCGCAUACGUCCUACGGGAGAAAGUGGGGGACCGCAAGGCCUCACGCAGAAAGAUGAGCCGACGACCGAUUAGCUAGUUGGUGGGGUAAAGGCCCACCAAGGCGACGAUCGGUAGCUGGUCUGAGAGGAUGAUCAGCCACACUGGGACUGAGACACGGCCCAGACUCCUACGGGAGGCAGCCGUGGGGAAUAUUGGACAAUGGGCGCAAGCCUGAUCCAGCCAUGCCGCGUGUGUGAAGAAGGCCUUCGGGUUGUAAAGCACUUUUGUCCGGAAAGAAAUCCCUGGAGCUAAUACCUUCGGGGGAUGACGGUACCGGAAGAAUAAGCACCGGCUAACUUCGUG
Molecule: ribosomal RNA, 484 nt
Filed under: uncultured bacterium
Lineage: Bacteria
Description: partial 16S ribosomal RNA
Rfam family: Bacterial small subunit ribosomal RNA
Source: RNAcentral